UUUAUUUGUAUAAGACGUUUUCCAUCUUUCCUCCUCCUUUCGUCCUUUUCCUUCUUCAAUCUGUCUUAUUCCCCUCACGAAUUUGCAAGACCUAAAUGUCCCAAAGUUGGCCCAUCGUCGAUACUUGUUUCUAGAGAGCUACUCUCGGUUCAGGGCUAAGAGGCUUUGCUGGUGUUAGCGAUUUGCAUUCCGUUAGAAUGGGUAAGGGCAACAAAGAAGGGACCUCCAAGCAAUUCAGGUGGACAAAACUGAUGGAACAUCUUUUUCUUGAAAUUCUAGCAGAUGAGGCCCAGAGAGGAAAUAAGCCUUCUAAUACUUUCAAAGCAAUUUCUAUUAAUCGAGUUGCCGAAGCUAUUUUUGAAAGAUUUCAAGUCCAAUGCGAUGCGAAGCAUGUGGAAAAUCAUUUGAGGACUGUAAAAAACCAGUGGCAGAUUAUAUGCACAAUUCGGGGUGAAAGUGGUUUUGGAUGGGAUGAUAACAUGAAAAUGAUCACAUGUGAUAGAGCGACAUAUGAUGCAGCAGUGAUAGUAAUAUAUGUAUAUAUAUAUGUUAAGUAUAUUUCAAUUGUUUUUUACUUGUUAUUCUAAUUGUAUAUAAUAUCUAACAGGCACACAAGAAGUGUGAACCAUUUUGAAUAAAAGCAUUGAUCAUUAAGAUGAAAUGGCUUUCGUUGUUGGCAAAGAUAUGGCAACAGGGAGUUUUGCCAAAACAUAUGUUGACAUAGAUUUGGAUGACGGUAACCAAGAUUCAGUGCCUAUAGACUGCGACAAUGAAAAGACUAAAGAGGUAAGAACAAAAGUAUCUUCAUCUGGCACAUCCAAACGUAAAAGAAAAAAUGUUCAAGAAAGUGUCAUUGAUGAACAAAUUAAAUUUGUGGGUGAACAACUUUGCAAAAUUGCUAAUGCUUUGGAACAAUUUACUGUGGAUAAGACACCACAUCUUUACGAAGAAGUGAUGUCGAUGGAGGAAGAAGGAUUUGAUGAUGACUUCCUGUGUUCUGUGUUUGAUUAUCUAGUGAGUCAUGAAUCCGAGACCAAAGCUUUUUUAGUUAAAAGUAAGAAGCAUAAAAAAAUUUGGCUUCAAAAA
This is a long non-coding RNA of Gossypium raimondii (Peruvian cotton), 1086 nucleotides long. RefSeq lists it as uncharacterized. The transcript is spliced from 3 exons. Lineage: Eukaryota; Viridiplantae; Streptophyta; Magnoliopsida; Malvales; Malvaceae. The record is from RefSeq and is a predicted model, not a curated record.